AUCAACUGUGAGGAGUCCCAAAUAGGAUGAAACGUGCGUCUUAGAU
Molecule: non-coding RNA, 46 nt
Filed under: Schistosoma haematobium
Lineage: Eukaryota; Metazoa; Platyhelminthes; Trematoda; Strigeidida; Schistosomatidae
Source: RNAcentral